GCGCCGGUGGUGUAAGGCGAACAUCGCUGCCCGGAAAGCAGAAGAUGCAGGUUCGAGUCCCGCCUGGCGCA
Molecule: non-coding RNA, 71 nt
Organism: Heligmosomoides polygyrus
Lineage: Eukaryota; Metazoa; Nematoda; Chromadorea; Rhabditida; Heligmosomidae
Source: Rfam